ACAGAGGACAAUCGUGUUGCACAGGAAGAAUCGUUAAUUGUGGCUGAAUCAAACGUUAAGGAAGAAAAACAUGAUAUGGAUGAUGAGAGCGUAGCACUGUGUCGAGCUCAUAAUAAGGAACUACUUGAAGAAACAGGUAUGUGCGUAUGAAUGUAUUGUGUAUUAUGUAUAAUGGUGUUGAAUGCUAAAGGAUUAUAACUGCC
Pelobates cultripes (western spadefoot toad) is the source of this 203-nucleotide non-coding RNA. Lineage: Eukaryota; Metazoa; Chordata; Amphibia; Anura; Pelobatidae. The record is from the annotation of a GenBank genome assembly.